GUGUUUUCAUUAAUCAAGAACGAAAGUCAGAGGAUCGAAGACGAUUAGAUACCGUCGUAGUUCUGACCGUAAACGAUGCCAACUAUCAAUCCGCCAGCAGCUCUCGGUUGUUGGCGGGCGGAUCGACGGAAACGAAAGUGUUUCGGUUCCGGGGGAAGUAUGGUUGCAAAGCUGAAACUUAAAGGAAUUGACGGAAGGGCACCACCAGGAGUGGAGCUUGCGGCUUAAUUUGACUCAACACGGGAAACCUCACCCGGCCAGUACAUCAUAAGGAUUGACAGAUUGAAAGCUCUUUCAUGAUUUGAUGAAUGGUGGUGCAUGGCCGUUCUUAGUUCGUGGCGUGAGUCGUCUGCUUAAUUGCGAUAACGAGCGAGACUCCGACUGUUAAAUAGCACAAGGUUUUUUUUGACUUUGACGCUUCUUAACUGGAUUGGGAUCUUCAAGAUCCAAGAAAUGGAGCAAUAACAGGUCUGUGAUGCCCUUAGAUGUUCGGGGCCGCACGCGUGCUACAAUGAUGGUAACAGCGUGAUUGUCCUCGCUCGACAGAGCUUGGCAAACAGUUGAGAUAUUAUUAUGGCUGGAAUUGAGUGUUGAAAUUUUCUCUCAUGAACGAGGAAUUCCAAGUAAAUGCGAGUCAUCAACUCGCAUUGAUUACGUCCCUGCCCUUUGUACACACCGCCCGUCGCUACCCAGAACUGAGUUGUUUCGAGAAAUUUACGGACCUGCCCCCUCGGGGACGGGAAAGUAACUUAAUCGCAAUGGCUUGAACCGGGUAAAAGUCGUAACAAGGUAUCAGUAGGUGAACCUGCUGAUGGAUCAUUAACGAGAUCACUCAAACCUUUGAAGUUGACUUCUAGCGGGCGCUAGAAUUGACUUCUACGGCAUUUUCCAACUUAAAUGUUGGUUGAAAUCCAACGGCUUCGUUUGGGUCUCUAUGUCUUGCUGAGCAGUUGUGUUCCACGUCCGUGGCUGCAAAGAAGCGAGAUGGCAAAACUGGUUAAAUUUGACUGGUUUAGAAUUAAAGAACCGUUGGGUCGCCCAAGCAAACACAUUCACUUUUAAUUCUUUUUAAAAUUACCAAAAAAUUAUCAAG
Molecule: ribosomal RNA, 1093 nt
Filed under: Schistonchus sp. 5068
Lineage: Eukaryota; Metazoa; Nematoda; Chromadorea; Rhabditida; Aphelenchoididae
Description: bacterial SSU rRNA
Rfam family: Eukaryotic small subunit ribosomal RNA (bases 1-822)
Source: RNAcentral